This 69-nucleotide transfer RNA is filed under the name Marmota monax (woodchuck). It matches the Rfam family "tRNA". Rfam says of the family: Transfer RNA (tRNA) molecules are approximately 80 nucleotides in length. Their secondary structure includes four short double-helical elements and three loops (D, anti-codon, and T loops). Lineage: Eukaryota; Metazoa; Chordata; Mammalia; Rodentia; Sciuridae. The record is from Rfam by way of RNAcentral.
GGAGUUGUGGCUCAACGGUAGAGCACUCACUUAGUACUUGCGAGGCCCUGGGUUCGAUCCUCAGCACCA